UCCUUAGAUGUCCUGGGCCGCACGCGCGUUACACUGAUGCAUUCAACGAGCUUAUAACCUUGGCCGAGAGGCCUGGGCAAUCUUAUUAACGUGCAUCGUGAUAGGGAUAGAUUAUUGAAAUUAUUAAUCUUGAACGAGGAAUUCCUAGUAAACGCAGAUCAUCAAUCUGCAUUGAUUACGUCCCUGCCCUUUGUACACACCGCCCGUCGCACCUACCGAUUGGAUGGUCCGGUGAAGCCUCGGGAUUGUGGUUCUUGCCGCUUUAUUGUGGCGUGACCGCGAGAACUUGUCUAAACCUUAUCAUCUAGAGGAAGGUGAAGUCGUAACA
This 328-nucleotide ribosomal RNA is filed under the name uncultured eukaryote. Its description in RNAcentral is "partial 18S ribosomal RNA". It matches the Rfam family "Eukaryotic small subunit ribosomal RNA", at positions 1470 to 1796 of the family's 1831-position model. The record is from RNAcentral.